Molecule: ribosomal RNA, 971 nt
Filed under: uncultured bacterium
Lineage: Bacteria
Description: bacterial SSU rRNA
Rfam family: Bacterial small subunit ribosomal RNA
Source: RNAcentral
GGGAAGGUUCCGGAUUAUUGGGCGUAAGAGCUCGUAGGCGGUUUGUCGCGUCUGCCGUGAAAGUCCGGGGCUCAACUCCGGAUCUGCGGUGGGUACGGGCAGACUAGAGUGAUGUAGGGGAGACUGGAAUUCCUGGUGUAGCGGUGAAAUGCGCAGAUAUCAGGAGGAACACCGAUGGCGAAGGCAGGUCUCUGGGCAUUAACUGACGCUGAGGAGCGAAAGCAUGGGGAGCGAACAGGAUUAGAUACCCUGGUAGUCCAUGCCGUAAACGUUGGGCACUAGGUGUGGGGGACAUUCCACGUUUUCCGCGCCGUAGCUAACGCAUUAAGUGCCCCGCCUGGGGAGUACGGCCGCAAGGCUAAAACUCAAAGGAAUUGACGGGGGCCCGCACAAGCGGCGGAGCAUGCGGAUUAAUUCGAUGCAACGCGAAGAACCUUACCAAGGCUUGACAUGGGCCGGACCGGGCUGGAAACAGUCCUUCCCCUUUGGGGCCGGUUCACAGGUGGUGCAUGGUUGUCGUCAGCUCGUGUCGUGAGAUGUUGGGUUAAGUCCCGCAACGAGCGCAACCCUCGUUCCAUGUUGCCAGCGCGUAAUGGCGGGGACUCAUGGGAGACUGCCGGGGUCAACUCGGAGGAAGGUGGGGACGACGUCAAAUCAUCAUGCCCCUUAUGUCUUGGGCUUCACGCAUGCUACAAUGGCCGGUACAAAGGGUUGCGAUACUGUGAGGUGGAGCUAAUCCCAAAAAGCCGGUCUCAGUUCGGAUUGGGGUCUGCAACUCGACCCCAUGAAGUCGGAGUCGCUAGUAAUCGCAGAUCAGCAACGCUGCGGUGAAUACGUUCCCGGGCCUUGUACACACCGCCCGUCAAGUCACGAAAGUUGGUAACACCCGAAGCCGGUGGCCUAACCCCUUGUGGGAGGGAGCUGUCGAAAGGUGGGACUGGCGAUUGGGACUAAGUCGUAACAAGGUAACC